GAGGUUCAUCAAAUUUCAAAUGGCAAUAGAAAAAAGGCUAUUACAUGGCUUAAGCCCGAUUCAAGGAAACAACAUAACAAUACUGAUUGUGGAUACUAUGUGAUGAAAAAUAUGUUGGAUAUUGUCUCUGCCAAUAUAACUGAAUCUUGGAUGCAGGUAUUUAAUGAUCCUACAGAAUUGACACAAGAAGAUUUGUAUGAUUUGCGACUCCGUUGGGCAAAAUGUUUCUUUGAGUUAUAUAAAGGAUAACUUUAUGUUUCUCGUGGAUGCGUGUUGGUUUUUCAAGUGCGCGAAAGUACUUUAUGUUUCUUUGAGAUAAUUAUCUUGUAGUAGAAAAUCGUGUGUAAACCUUUCUUAUCAUU
Long non-coding RNA from Vicia villosa (hairy vetch), 362 nucleotides. RefSeq lists it as uncharacterized. The record is from RefSeq and is a predicted model, not a curated record. The transcript is spliced from 3 exons. NCBI's taxonomy places the organism in Eukaryota, Viridiplantae, Streptophyta, Magnoliopsida, Fabales, Fabaceae.